RNAcentral lists this ribosomal RNA (253 nucleotides) under uncultured bacterium. Its description in RNAcentral is "partial 16S ribosomal RNA". It matches the Rfam family "Bacterial small subunit ribosomal RNA", at positions 524 to 776 of the family's 1533-position model. The record is from RNAcentral.
UACGGAGGAGGCAAGCGUUAUCCGGAAUUAUUGGGCGUAAAGCGUCCGUAGGUGGUUUAGUAAGUCUGCUGUUAAAGCGCGGGGCUUAACUCCGUAUCGGCAGUGGAAACUACUAGACUAGAGUGUGGUAGGGGUAGAGGGAAUUCCCAGUGUAGCGGUGAAAUGCGUAGAUAUUGGGAAGAACACCGGUGGCGAAGGCGCUCUACUGGGCCACAACUGACACUGAUGGACGAAAGCUAGGGGAGCGAAAGGG